AUUGAACGCUGGCGGCAUGCCUUACACAUGCAAGUCGAACGGUAACGGGCCUUCGGGUGCCGACGAGUGGCGAACGGGUGAGUAAUACAUCGGAACGUGCCCGAUCGUGGGGGAUAACGAGGCGAAAGCUUUUCUAAUACCGCAUACGAUCUACGGAUGAAAGCAGGGGACCGCAAGGCCUUGCGCGGACGGAGCGGCCGAUGGCAGAUUAGGUAGUUGGUGGGAUAAAAGCUUACCAAGCCGACGAUCUGUAGCUGGUCUGAGAGGAUGAUCAGCCACACUGGGACUGAGACACGGCCCAGACUCCUACGGGAGGCAGCAGUGGGGAAUUUUGGACAAUGGGCGCAAGCCUGAUCCAGCCAUGCCGCGUGCAGGAUGAAGGCCUUCGGGUUGUAAACUGCUUUUGUACGGAACGAAAAGCCUUCUUUUAAUACAGGAGGGUCAUGACGGUACCGUAAGAAUAAGCACCGGCUAACUACGUG
This 482-nucleotide ribosomal RNA is filed under the name uncultured bacterium. RNAcentral describes it as "partial 16S ribosomal RNA". It matches the Rfam family "Bacterial small subunit ribosomal RNA", at positions 30 to 507 of the family's 1533-position model. The record is from RNAcentral.